AAUAAGAUCAUUUUUCAGUUUUUUACUACAAUACUUUAACUCUUCGUUUUAUUUGAAUUUUUUUACGAUUAAUAUUUUUAUUCUUACUAGAUGCUAAAACAUAAAUAGUAUUUUAUAUGUGACUAAUCUUUUUAAGUUUUUUAAUAAAUUUUUCAAAUAAGACGAAUGGUCAAACAUUGAACACAAAAAACGAAAAAUGAAGUUAUU
Molecule: microRNA precursor, 207 nt
Filed under: Oryza brachyantha (malo sina)
Lineage: Eukaryota; Viridiplantae; Streptophyta; Magnoliopsida; Poales; Poaceae
Description: MIR812 microRNA precursor family
Rfam family: MIR812 microRNA precursor family
Source: Rfam by way of RNAcentral